GAAGGCAGGAUAAUCGCGCUUUUCUUUAUUUAUAAAGAAUUGUGAGGAAAGUCCGGGCUUCACGAAGACACGAUGCCGGAUAACAUCCGGGUGGCGCGAGCCAACGGAAAGUGCAACAGAGAGUAAACCGCCCAAUUUAUUGGGUAAGGGUGAAAGGGUGCGGUAAGAGCGCACCGCAAGGCUGGUAACAGUUUUGGCAUGGUAAACCCCAUCGGAAGCAAGACCAAAUAGGAGUGGCGUAUAGGUGUGUUUUCCACCUGUCAUUCGGGUAGGUCGCUUGAGGCGUUUAGUAAUAAACGUCCCAGAUGAAUGAUUAUCCCCUUUUUUAGGGACAGAACCCGGCUUAUAUGCCUUCUG
RNAcentral lists this RNase P RNA (357 nucleotides) under marine eukaryotic metagenome. Its description in RNAcentral is "Bacterial RNase P class A". It matches the Rfam family "Bacterial RNase P class A". Rfam says of the family: Ribonuclease P (RNase P) is a ubiquitous endoribonuclease, found in archaea, bacteria and eukarya as well as chloroplasts and mitochondria. Its best characterised activity is the generation of mature 5'-ends of tRNAs by cleaving the 5'-leader elements of precursor-tRNAs. The record is from RNAcentral.